Molecule: ribosomal RNA, 500 nt
Filed under: uncultured bacterium
Lineage: Bacteria
Description: bacterial SSU rRNA
Rfam family: Bacterial small subunit ribosomal RNA
Source: RNAcentral
AAUCAACGCUGGCGGCGUGCCUCAGACAUGCAAGUCGAACGCGAAAGUCCCCUUCGGGGGCAAGUAGAGUGGCGCACGGGUGAGUAACACGUAGGUAAUCUACCUUUGGAUGGGGAAUAACAACCGGAAACGGUUGCUAAUACCGCAUAAUGCAGCGGCACCUAAUGGUGACAGUUGUUAAAGCGGGGGAUCGCAAGACCUCGCGUCUGAAGAGGAGCCUGCGGCGGAUUAGCUAGUUGGUAAGGUAACGGCUUACCAAGGCUAUGAUCCGUAGCCGGCCUGAGAGGGCGGUCGGCCACACUGACACUGACAUACGGGUCAGACUCCUACGGGAGGCAGCAGUCGGGAAUUUUGGGCAAUGGGCGAAAGCCUGACCCAGCAACGCCGCGUGAAGGAUGAAAUCCUUCGGGAUGUAAACUUCGCAAGAACAGGAAGAAUAAGUGAGAGUUAAUAUCUAUUACGAUGACGGUACUGUUUGUAAGCUCCGGCUAACUCCGUGC